AGAGUUUGAUCCUGGCUCAGGAUGAACGCUAGCUACAGGCUUAACACAUGCAAGUCGAGGGGAAACGACAUCGAAAGCUUGCUUUUGAUGGGCGUCGACCGGCGCACGGGUGAGUAACGCGUAUCCAACCUGCCCACCACUUGGGGAUAACCUUGCGAAAGUAAGACUAAUACCCAAUGACGUCUCUAGAAGACAUCUGAAGGAGAUUAAAGAUUUAUCGGUGAUGGAUGGGGAUGCGUCUGAUUAGCUUGUUGGGCGGGGUAACGGCCACCAAGGCGACGAUCAGUAGGGGUUCUGAGAGGAAGGUCCCCCACAUUGGAACUGAGACACGGUCCAAACUCCGUACGGAGCA
This 352-nucleotide ribosomal RNA is filed under the name uncultured bacterium. Its description in RNAcentral is "bacterial SSU rRNA". It matches the Rfam family "Bacterial small subunit ribosomal RNA", at positions 8 to 349 of the family's 1533-position model. The record is from RNAcentral.